AGGGUUUGAUCCUGGCUCAGAUUGAACGCUGGCGGCAGGCCUAACACAUGCAAGUCGAACGGUAACAGAACUAGCUUGCUAGUUGCUGACGAGUGGCGGACGGGUGAGUAAUACUUAGGGAUCCGCCUCUGUGUGGGGGAUAACUAUUGGAAACGAUAGCUAAUACCGCAUAACGUCUACGGACCAAAGAGGGCUUCGGCUCUCGCGCAGAGAGGAACCUAAGCGAGAUUAGCUUGUUGGUGAGGUAAAGGCUCACCAAGGCGACGAUCUCUAGCUGUUCUGAGAGGAAGAUCAGCCACACUGGAACUGAGACACGGUCCAGACUCCUACGGGAGGCAGCAGUGGGGAAUAUUGCACAAUGGGGGCAACCCUGAUGCAGCCAUGCCGCGUGUGUGAAGAAGGCCUUCGGGUUGUAAAGCACUUUCAGUUGUGAGGAAAGGUUAGUAGUUAAUACCUGCUAGCUGUGACGUUAACAACAGAAGAAGCACCGGCUAACUCCGUGCCAGCAGCCGCGGUAAUACGGAGGGUGCGAGCGUUAAUCGGAAUUACUGGGCGUAAAGCGCACGCAGGCGGUCUGUUAAGCUAGAUGUGAAAGCCCCGCGCUCAACGUGGGAGGGUCAUUUAGAACUGGCAGACUAGAGUCUUGGAGAGGGGAGUGGAAUUCCAGGUGUAGCGGUGAAAUGCGUAGAGAUCUGGAGGAACAUCAAUGGCGAAGGCAACUCCCUGGCCAAAGACUGACGCUCAUGUGCGAAAGUGUGGGUAGCGAACAGGAUUAGAUACCCUGGUAGUCCACACCGUAAACGCUGUCUACUAGCCGUUGGGAAACUUGAUUUCUUAGUGGCGCAGCUAACGCACUAAGUAGACCGCCUGGGGAGUACGGCCGCAAGGUUAAAACUCAAAUGAAUUGACGGGGGCCCGCAC
This 921-nucleotide ribosomal RNA is filed under the name uncultured Gammaproteobacteria bacterium. RNAcentral describes it as "bacterial SSU rRNA". It matches the Rfam family "Bacterial small subunit ribosomal RNA", at positions 8 to 926 of the family's 1533-position model. Lineage: Bacteria; Pseudomonadati; Pseudomonadota; Gammaproteobacteria. The record is from RNAcentral.